This 70-nucleotide transfer RNA is filed under the name Chelonodontops patoca (milkspotted puffer). Its description in RNAcentral is "tRNA-Glu". It matches the Rfam family "tRNA". Rfam says of the family: Transfer RNA (tRNA) molecules are approximately 80 nucleotides in length. Their secondary structure includes four short double-helical elements and three loops (D, anti-codon, and T loops). The record is from RNAcentral. Lineage: Eukaryota; Metazoa; Chordata; Actinopteri; Tetraodontiformes; Tetraodontidae.
GCUCUUGUAGUUGAAUAGACAACGGUGGUUUUUCACGCCACGGGUCUUGGUUGAAGUCCGGGUAAGAGCU